AGCAGAUCCAACUUUGCCUCGUACAAAAUCUGUUCGAUGUUCUCAAUGUGGUCAUGGAGAAGCAGUUUUCUUCCAGGCAACUGCAAGGGGAGAAGAAGGUAUGACGCUCUUCUUUGUUUGCUGCAACCCAAACUGUGGUCACAGGUGGAGGGAUUGAGACUACAUUUUGCAUUAUGGGAAUGCACUGUUAGUUCUUGAUGUAUUCGAAAAAAACUAAUUCUGAACAAAAGGAAAACGUCGUAACUGUUCAU
RNAcentral lists this unclassified non-coding RNA (251 nucleotides) under Hevea brasiliensis (rubber tree). Lineage: Eukaryota; Viridiplantae; Streptophyta; Magnoliopsida; Malpighiales; Euphorbiaceae. The record is from RNAcentral.